RNAcentral lists this ribosomal RNA (1002 nucleotides) under Triticum aestivum (bread wheat). RNAcentral describes it as "partial small subunit ribosomal RNA". The record is from RNAcentral. Lineage: Eukaryota; Viridiplantae; Streptophyta; Magnoliopsida; Poales; Poaceae.
AUGGCCGCCUCCGCGGCGCCGCUCCGGGCCGCGCUCGCCCGCAGCCACGCCGCCGCCUCCGCGCGCGCCCCGACCGCCUUCCUCCCGCUCCCUCCUCGUGCUCGCCGCCUCAAUCCGGCCGUCCUCGCCUCCGGGAGGGGGAGGCGGAUCCGCGCGGAGGCGACGGCGAGGACGCGGCAGGAGAAGGAGCAGCAGGAAGCCGAGGUGUCCGCCGUCGAGGACUCCUUCGCCGUCAGGGAGGCGGCCGCCGCUCCUCCUCCGGAGGAGGAAGGGGGAUUCGACGAAGAACUGACCCUCGCAGGCGAGGACGGCGACUGGGUCGUCAGGUUCGAGCAGUCCUUCAACGUAUUCCUCACGGAUACUGUCAUCUUUAUACUCGAUAUUCUGUACCGCGACCGCGACUACGCCAGGUUCUUCGUGCUCGAGACCAUCGCCAGGGUGCCCUAUUUUGCGUUUAUAUCGGUGCUUCACUUGUACGAGACCUUUGGCUGGUCGAGAAGAGCUGACAAUAUCAAAGUGCACUUUGCUGAAAGCAUGAAUGAGUUCCAUCACCUCUUAAUCAUGGAAGCAUUGGGUGGCAACUCUGUAUGGAUUGAUCGCUUUCUUGCGCGGUUUAGUGCCUUCUUUUACUACUUUGUCACUGUUGCCAUGUACAUGCUGAGCCCAAGAAUGGCAUACCACUUUUCUGAAUGUGUUGAGAGGCAUGCAUACUCAACUUAUGACAAGUUCCUAAAGCUCAAUGGAGAGGAGUUGAAAAAACUACCAGCUCCAGAGGUGGCUGUAAACUAUUACAUGAAUGAGGAUCUCUACAUGUUUGAUGAGUUUCAAACAUCAAGAGCUCCAAAUUCUAGGAGGCCUAAAGUUGAUAACUUGUAUGAUGUAUUCGUGAAUGUACGGGACGAUGAGGCGGAGCAUUGCAAGACAAUGAAGGCCUGUCAAACACAUGAAACCCUCCGUUCUCCUCAUGCCGUGCAGAGCUCAGUAGAAGCUGAUGCAGAAUGA